This 271-nucleotide ribosomal RNA is filed under the name uncultured prokaryote. Its description in RNAcentral is "partial 16S ribosomal RNA". It matches the Rfam family "Bacterial small subunit ribosomal RNA", at positions 524 to 794 of the family's 1533-position model. The record is from RNAcentral.
CACGUAGGAGGCAAACGUUAUCCGGAUUUACUGGGCGUAAAGCGCGUGUAGGUGGUUUUGUAAGUAGGGCGUGAAAGCUCCCGGCUCAACUGGGAGAGGCCGUUCUAAACUGCAGAACUAGAGGAUGGUAGAGGGAGGUGGAAUUCCAGGUGUAGCUGUGGAAUGCGCAGAUAUCUGGAGGAACACCAGUGGCGAAAGCGGCCUCCUGGACCAUUCCUGACACUCAGGCACGAAGGCGUGGGGAUCAAACAGGAUUAGAUACCCCUGUAGU